UAUUAUUUCAAUUGUAAAUUAUAAGGGCUUGAAGUAGUAUUAGUUAAGGGCUUGAAACUCAAAGAAUUUGGCGGUGUUUUAGUCUUUUCGGAGGAAUCUGUCCUGUAAUCGAUAGUACACGUUAAAAGUAACUUAGUUUUGUAAUAGCAGUUUGUAUACCGCCGUCAUAAGAAUAUCUUUUUAGAGAUCCAAUAUUCAGGAUUUUAAUUAAAAAAUAUGUCAGGUCAAGGUGCAGCUUAUAACUAAGAAGAGAUGGAUUACAAUAAAUUUAUUUAUUACGGAUCGAUAAUGAUAUUUUGACAUGAAGGUGGAUUUGGAAGUAAUAUUAUUAAAUAAUGAUAAUAUGAUUAAAGCGCUGAAGCAUGCACACAUCGCCCGUCACUCUCAUUAUUAAGGUGAG
RNAcentral lists this ribosomal RNA (400 nucleotides) under Ceraia tibialoides. RNAcentral's name for it is "partial 12S ribosomal RNA". Lineage: Eukaryota; Metazoa; Arthropoda; Insecta; Orthoptera; Tettigoniidae. The record is from RNAcentral.